GUCCCCAUAGUUUAAUGGAUAGAAUACCAGCCUCCGAAGUUGGUGGUCCAGGUUCGAUUCCUGGUGAGGACACAA
Molecule: transfer RNA, 75 nt
Filed under: Candidatus Magasanikbacteria bacterium RIFCSPHIGHO2_01_FULL_47_8
Lineage: Bacteria; Candidatus Magasanikiibacteriota
Description: tRNA-Arg
Rfam family: tRNA
About the family: Transfer RNA (tRNA) molecules are approximately 80 nucleotides in length. Their secondary structure includes four short double-helical elements and three loops (D, anti-codon, and T loops).
Source: RNAcentral